GUAGGUGAACCUGCGGAAGGAUCAUUAAAGAAUGCCCCGUUUUUUGAAAUGGGUUCUAUUCCCAAACCGUGUAUACAUACCUUUGUUGCUUUGGCAGGCCGCCUUCGGGCGUCGGCUCGCGCUGACCGCGCCUGCCAGAGGACCCAAACUCUUUUGUUUAGUGAUGCCUGGGUACUAUAUAAUAGUUAAAACUUUCAACAACGGAUCUCUUGGUUCCG
This 218-nucleotide unclassified non-coding RNA is filed under the name rhizosphere metagenome. RNAcentral's name for it is "partial ribosomal RNA internal transcribed spacer region". The record is from RNAcentral.